Molecule: ribosomal RNA, 65 nt
Filed under: Anopheles pullus
Lineage: Eukaryota; Metazoa; Arthropoda; Insecta; Diptera; Culicidae
Description: partial 5.8S ribosomal RNA
Source: RNAcentral
GGGGUUAGUUUGACGCAUAUUGCACGUCGUGGGACCUACCAUGACGAACACAUACUUGAGCGCUU